This 2186-nucleotide long non-coding RNA is filed under the name Homo sapiens (human). Its description in RNAcentral is "non-protein coding lnc-LRIT2-8:1". Lineage: Eukaryota; Metazoa; Chordata; Mammalia; Primates; Hominidae. The record is from RNAcentral.
CCUAGCAUAUUGCAGGGCUUCUUGGCCAUCUCUGCUGAGGAAGAUACUAUAUUGACAACUAUCACUCCUUAUGAUCAUCACCAAGGGGAACUUGUCCAAGGUGAAGUUGGCCCAGCACAUCCUGACUGGAAAAGAGGGAUCCAUGACUUUCAGCCUCUACGAAGUAUCCCAUGAAGUGGGAACCAUGAAGGCUUUGAAUCAUCCCAAUGUAAUUAAAUUAUUUGAGCUGCCCAAGACUGAAUAAACACUCUGUGUUGCCAUGGAGUACACCAGUGGAAGAGAGAUGUUUGAUUACCUAGUGGUUUGUGACAGUAUAAAAGGAGGAGAAUAUGGAGUCCAAUUCUGCUAGUUACGAUCUGCUGUGCAGUACUGUGACUAAAAGUGGAUUGUUCAUAAAGACCUAAAGGCAGAAACUCUGCUCUUAGAGGCUGACAUGAACAUCAAGUUUGACAGAUUUGGGCUUCGGCAAUGAUUUCAUCUUCGGUAACAAGCUAAAUACCAUCUGUGGCAGCCCUCUGGGAGUUUGGCCCAGAACUCUUCCAGGGCAAAACUUAUGAUGGACUUGAAUAAGAGUUGUGAAGAUUGGGAGUCAUCCUAUAUGUACUAUUAAUCUGAGUCCUGCCUUUUGAUGCACAGAAGUUCAAGGAAUCAUGGGAGCAGGUACUGGGUAGAAUAUACCAUAUUCUCUUCUAUUUGUCCACAGAGUGUGAAAAAAAAAGCUAAUCAAGAAAUUUUUCAUUCUCGGUCUCACUGAAAAGGGCAUUUUGUAGUACACUAUGAAAGAGCUAUGGAUGAAUGUGGGCCAAAAGGAUGAAGGGCUUAUGUAAUCCAUUCCCUAACCACAAGGACUUUCAGAGGACUGAGUUGACAGUGUCAUUGGAGUAUAACUGGAAGAAAUUAAGGACUUACUGAUGGGCCAGAAGUACAAUAAGGUGACAGCCACCUGUCUGCUCCUGGGAUGCAAGAGACCAAAGCUGGAGGGCUUCCCCAUCACCCUGAGUCCCCAACAUUCUACUCAUCUGACCAAUAGCGGCACUCCUUCCCCGUCUGAUAAGGGACAGCAUAGUGUCCCUGCCAGCCCCAAUAAUUGUAUUUUCAACAAACAUGCUAGUCCUGCCAUUUCCACUCCAAUUCCCAGAAUACUAAGAGUAGCAGUGCAGAAAAUCAGCAGCUGCAGGAGAUCUAGGAAUCAGAACAGAAAGUCAGCAGCGUGGCCCCCAUGCUUGCCCCUCCUUACCUGUGUUGCCGAGAAAGAGUAUAACUCCUGUCUUCUCCAUGAAUAGUGGCCUUUCCACCAGCAUAAAACAGAGCUUUUAGAAGCAUAAAUCCCUGCUUUUAGAGAGGGCCACCUUUAACCAGUGCUCCAUCCAGACAGCAAAAAGCCUAACUGUGCUAGGAUCUGGGGCUUCCAGGGCUUCUACUGCAGACUGCCUGGCCUAACCCCACCUGUACUAGAACCCCUUUGUGAAGCCCAGCCAGGCCUCUGGGCUUGGUCCUACAAACAGUAACUGUGAGAUGUUUCCAUGCAGCCCCUUCAGCGUGUCCUUGUUGCCACCUUCCCAGCCUACAACAUCAGCAGCAGUGGUAAAACCCAGACUAAACACAUUUCCAUCUGCUUGGCAUCCAAAUGAAAAUUUUUUCACACCAAGCAGCUUCGACAGGUGUGCAACCAGCAGAAUUUGCCCUAUGCGGAGACCCCAGCCUUUCUUUCUGGCAAUAGCCAGGGCUGGCAGGGGGCCACUGGGAGCUUCUUCAGCAAGUCAAUGUUCAAGUUUAUAUGGAGACAUCUGUAUUUCAGGUUGCCAGAGGAACCUAAAUGAACCUGAAAGCAGAAACCUAGUAAAGAUUUUCAAGCCACAUCAUGAACAGCAGAGACAGUGAUAAAAAAGAAACAAUGAGACUGAGUGGAUUUUUUACUCACUACACUUUACAUGGAAUAUGAAGUUCACAACCUCCAUGGAGCCUACUGCAAAAUAUCAAGGUACUGGACAUGAAUGGCUGCCAGUGUGAGCUAAAUAAAAAGCACAUGCUCCUAUGCAUGCACUGCACACCCACCAACACCACGCUGUGGAAAAUGGAAAUUUGCAAGGUGCCAAGACUCUCUCAAUGGGAUUCCAUUUAAGCAGAUAUCUAGCAUUUCCAUAGUCUUCAAAAGCCUUGCCUCCGAAGUAACUGCAACUUAAAAC